This 394-nucleotide long non-coding RNA is filed under the name Setaria italica (foxtail millet). RNAcentral describes it as "long non-coding RNA (SITA_LNC005298)". Lineage: Eukaryota; Viridiplantae; Streptophyta; Magnoliopsida; Poales; Poaceae. The record is from RNAcentral.
CUCAAGGGGAUCCCACUCGUUGAAGCCACAGAGAUCGACAACAGACUGCUCCAGGUCGUAGUUGUUCUGCCUCAGUAUCUGCUUGUUCAGGUCAGCCUGCAUGAAACCCAGUACCUCAAGCUCACUCAUCAUCUUCUCCUCCAGCAGGUGGUUGACGACUUCCUCAGCCAAAGGGGCAGCAGGUGCUGCUGCAACCACAGGCAUGCUAACAGGAGCAGCAACAGGUGCAGGUGCGGAUGCACUAACAGGUGCAGGCACAGGCACAGGUUUGGGCAGGAGAAUUGCUUCAGGUGCAGGCACAGCAGCAGGCAUCGAAGCCAAUGCAGCCUCGGCAGAUGAGGCAGGAGCAUCAGUAACUGGGAUUUGCGCCGGUUCAACUGCUGCUGGGGCAGAG